Neopelma chrysocephalum (saffron-crested tyrant-manakin) is the source of this 291-nucleotide long non-coding RNA. RefSeq lists it as uncharacterized. Lineage: Eukaryota; Metazoa; Chordata; Aves; Passeriformes; Pipridae. The transcript has 3 exons. The record is from RefSeq and is a predicted model, not a curated record.
GGGAGCUCUCGGGGCACUGGCAGCACUACAGCCCCCACAUCUUCUCCGUCCCCGCCGCCCCCGAGACCCUCUCCCUCAAACCCAUGAACUGCCCGGCCCACUGCCUGAUGUUCGCCCACCGGCCGCGCUCCUGGCGGGAGCUGCCCCUGCGCCUGGCGGAUUUCGGGGUCCUGCACCGCAACGAGCCCCCCGGGACCCUGACGGGGCUCACGCGGGUCCGGCGCUUCCAGCAGGACGAUGCCCACAUUUUCUGCACCCUGGAGCAGCUGGAGAGCGAGAUCGAUUCCUCCC